UACGUAGGGUGCAAGCGUUGUCCGGAAUUAUUGGGCGUAAAGGGCUCGUAGGCGGUUUGUCACGUCGGGAGUGAAAACUCGGGGCUUAACCCCGAGCCUGCUUCCGAUACGGGCUGACUAGAGGUAUGCAGGGGAGAACGGAAUUCCUGGUGUAGCGGUGAAAUGCGCAGAUAUCAGGAGGAACACCGGUGGCGAAGGCGGUUCUCUGGGCAUUACCUGACGCUGAGGAGCGAAAGUGUGGGGAGCGAACAGG
This 253-nucleotide ribosomal RNA is filed under the name uncultured bacterium. Its description in RNAcentral is "partial 16S ribosomal RNA". It matches the Rfam family "Bacterial small subunit ribosomal RNA", at positions 524 to 776 of the family's 1533-position model. The record is from RNAcentral.